AUGACACCCAACGGGGUUGGGAAGAUGACACCUGAGGUGGUCACGGUGACGACACAACCAGGAGAGGUGGUGGUGGCACCCAAGAUGGUGGCCAUGACACCCAAGAUGGUGGUCGUGACACCCAACGAGGUUGGGAAGACAACACAACCAGGAGAGGUGGUGGUGACACCCAAAAUGGUGACGACACAACCAGAAGAGGUGGUGGUGACACCCGGGGUGGUCGCGGUGACGCUCAACGUGUCAUCGUUACCACCUCACUUGUCCCCACAACCAACACAACCCGAGGAGACGGUCGUGGGGGCAUCACAACCUGAAGAAGUGGUGACACCGGAGAUGGUCGUGGUGACAGCACGACUUGGGACGACUGUGACACCACCGGUGACAACGUGCCCACCCCAUGGGGGACAGGUGACACCCAUGGGCACCUCCUGCCCACGGUUGUUGCCGUCGCCAACCCCGCGGGCCUACAACAUCACUGCACACUGACAACUCAGACUGUCACCCUGUUGUCUGGGUGACGCCGUACGAUUGUCACCUCCACCUGAAGGUGACACCUGGUGCCCUGCUGUGUCAUUGGUGGUGACACCCAAUGGAUUUGGAGAUGCUUUGGGGGACCGACGCUGCGGUGACGACGCUGCGGUGGCACCGAGCACCCAUGGGUGCCUCUACCUCACCCUCAGAGCCCCAAUUCUUUGUGGGUCACACUGAUAUUUAUUGGUCGUCGUUUGUAUUUAUUUAAGGGGUUAUUUAAUUGUAGGGUAUUUAAUAUUUAACACUAUUUAUUUCAGAGCUGUUUAACCCCGAUUUUGGGGUAUUUAUUACAGAAACUGUUGUUUACAACGUGUGCUGUCGCUGUGUCGUCAUUGGAGCACUGCAUCCGUGGGAAGGGGGAGGGGGGGGAGACUCAAACUUAAGGAUUUUGUGUUUUUUGACCCAAUUUGUAAGGCUUUGUCGUGGAACGGUGAAAGAAAAUGCCAUGUUUGGGUCCAGAAGUCCCGUUUUUGGGUGGAGAAGACCCGUUUUGGGGUCAGCAAAAGGUUUUGGGUGGAAAAGAUGACUUGGAGGGGGAAAAAAACACCAUUUUUUAGUUAGAAAAAAAGGCCACUUUGAGGUGGGGAAACACUACUUUUAGGUAGAAAACAUGGAUUUUGAGUUAAAAAAUGAGUCCCUUUAAGUAGAAAAAUCCAAUCUUCAGGUAGGAAACGAUUGGUUUUUAGGUAGAAAGGACCAUUUUUUGGAUUGGACAGAAAACUAAGUGGACUCAAGGAGACAGUUUUUAGGUGCAAAAGUCCAUUUUUUUUACAUAGAAAAGGCCAUUUUGGGGUCGAAAAACUAAAGUUUUCACUUUUCGGUUAGAACAUUACUCAUUUCAGGUGGAAAAUGACAAAUUUUUAAGGUAGGAAAAGCUUUUUGUGUCAGAAAACGUAAGAUGGGACGAUUUUUAGGUAGAAAAGGCUGUAUUUGAGUAGGAAAAAGGUUUUUUUUAGGUGAGUGAAGACCAUUCCGGGUGGAAAAAGGUUGGUUUUGGGUAGAAAACUGGCGUUUGUAAGCAGAAAAUCACCGCUUCUAGGUAGAAAACUCAAUUUUUAUGUGAACUUUUACGUUGAAGAUGACUUCUCAAGCCAAAGACUGCUAUAUUUUAGGUAGAAAAUGGGUGUUCUGGGGUGGGAAAUGCCAUUUUUUGAGGUGGAAAACGGUCAGUUUAGGUGAAGAACACUUUGCAGAAGAACAUUUUUAGAUGGAAAACUUCUUUUUUUCAUCCCGAUUUGGGCCCCAAUUCCAAGGCUGCUCUGAAAUAAACCAUCACACCACAACUAACA
Chrysolophus pictus (golden pheasant) is the source of this 1820-nucleotide long non-coding RNA. NCBI's taxonomy places the organism in Eukaryota, Metazoa, Chordata, Aves, Galliformes, Phasianidae. The record is from Ensembl.